Molecule: ribosomal RNA, 303 nt
Filed under: uncultured bacterium
Lineage: Bacteria
Description: bacterial SSU rRNA
Rfam family: Bacterial small subunit ribosomal RNA
Source: RNAcentral
GAGGGGCCUCUCUCUGAAAUUAAAGCUGGGGACCGCAAGGCCUGGCACUUUACGAUGAGCCCGCGGCCUAUCAGCUAGUUGGCGAGGUAACGGCUCACCAAGGCUUAGACGGGUAGCUGGUCUGAGAGGACGACCAGCCACACUGGAACUGAGACACGGUCCAGACACCUACGGGUGGCAGCAGUCGAGAAUUUUUCACAAUGGGGGAAACCCUGAUGGAGCGACGCCGCGUGGGGGAUGAAUGGCUUCUGCCCGUAAACCCCUGUCAUUUGCGACCAAGAUUGUCGGACCAACACUCCGGGU